AGUGAACGCUGGCGGUAGGCCUAACACAUGCAAGUCGAACGGCAGCACAGUAAGAGCUUGCUCUUACGGGUGGCGAGUGGCGGACGGGUGAGGAAUACAUCGGAAUCUACUUUUUCGUGGGGGAUAACGUAGGGAAACUUACGCUAAUACCGCAUACGACCUACGGGUGAAAGCAGGGGAUCUUCGGACCUUGCGCGAUUGAAUGAGCCGAUGUCGGAUUAGCUAGUUGGCGGGGUAAGGGCCCACCAAGGCGACGAUCCGUAGCUGGUCUGAGAGGAUGAUCAGCCCCACUGGAACUGAGACACGGUCCAGACUCCUACGGGAGGCAGCAGUGGGGAAUAUUGGACAAUGGGCGCAAGCCUGAUCCAGCCAUACCGCGUGGGUGAAGAAGGCCUUCGGGUUGUAAAGCCCUUUUGUUGGGAAAGAAAAGCAGCAGGUUAAUACCCCGCUGUUCUGACGGUACCCAAAGAAUAAGCACCGGCUAACUUCGU
RNAcentral lists this ribosomal RNA (491 nucleotides) under uncultured bacterium. RNAcentral describes it as "partial 16S ribosomal RNA". It matches the Rfam family "Bacterial small subunit ribosomal RNA", at positions 29 to 506 of the family's 1533-position model. The record is from RNAcentral.